Molecule: long non-coding RNA, 232 nt
Filed under: Homo sapiens (human)
Lineage: Eukaryota; Metazoa; Chordata; Mammalia; Primates; Hominidae
Description: HSALNT0103921
Source: RNAcentral
CCCAAGGCCACCUGGAGCACAUCUGUGGGUGAAGAAGUUGGGUUUAUUACUCACUGCAGUGGGAGGGAGAAUGCACACCUUGGAUAACUACCGAGUAUCUUGACUUCAGGUUUUCUUCAGGGAGAAGCUGCUUAGGGAGGCUCCUGCGUGGACCGAGUCCUUCCUGAGGGUUUGCUUGGUGCCCUAACUGUGGCUGACUGCCUCCCGCGGGGUCCCAACUUUAUACCCAGAG